RNAcentral lists this ribosomal RNA (241 nucleotides) under uncultured Staphylococcus sp. Its description in RNAcentral is "partial 16S ribosomal RNA". It matches the Rfam family "Bacterial small subunit ribosomal RNA", at positions 524 to 764 of the family's 1533-position model. Lineage: Bacteria; Bacillati; Bacillota; Bacilli; Caryophanales; Staphylococcaceae. The record is from RNAcentral.
UACGUAGGUGGCAAGCGUUAUCCGGAAUUAUUGGGCGUAAAGCGCGCGUAGGCGGUUUUUUAAGUCUGAUGUGAAAGCCCACGGCUCAACCGUGGAGGGUCAUUGGAAACUGGAAAACUUGAGUGCGGAAGAGGAAAGUGGAAUUCCAUGUGUAGCGGUGAAAUGCGCAGAGAUAUGGAGGAACACCAGUGGCGAAGGCGACUUUCUGGUCUGUAACUGACGCUGAUGUGCGAAAGCGUGG